Molecule: long non-coding RNA, 609 nt
Organism: Melopsittacus undulatus (budgerigar)
Lineage: Eukaryota; Metazoa; Chordata; Aves; Psittaciformes; Psittaculidae
Exons: 3
Source: RefSeq, a predicted model, not a curated record
CCCCCGCGGGCCCCGCCCCCUCGAUAACUACCUCGAGUUCCUGGAGGUGCUGACAGAGGGGCUGGGGCCGGUGCUGCUGGUGCGGGGAGGGGACAGGGACAGCCCUGGCCCCUGAGUGCACCAGUACAGACCAGUGCUCCCAGCACACACCCCAGCGCUCCCAGUACGAUUCCAGCCUGAGCCGCAGCUCUUCAAGCAUGAUCCCAGUAUGGUCCCUGCACUUCCCAGUAUGGACCCAGCGGCUCUGCCAGUACGGACCAAGCCACUGCUCUCCAAGUAAGGUCCCAUGAUGGACCAGUGCUCCCAGUAUGGACUCUAAGGCUCCCAGUUAAAUGCCAGCCUGAGCUAAAGCAGGAUCCCAGUACGGACCCCAGUGCUCCCAGUUGAGCACCACCAUUCCCAGUCCAGAUCCAGGCCUUUACCAGCCCCAUUGGCUGCUCCACUCCCAGUUACUCACCCACUGGUCCCAGUUCACUCCAGUCCCGCAGCCUCACUGGGACACGGCUCCCAUCGGGAAGGGACCAGACCCCAUCCAGCCCCGGCCGAGGACACGCAGACCCCGGAGCCCCUCCCCCCGCUCCCCACGUGCAAUAAAGGCCUCACUCAUUA